Molecule: ribosomal RNA, 253 nt
Filed under: uncultured bacterium
Lineage: Bacteria
Description: partial 16S ribosomal RNA
Rfam family: Bacterial small subunit ribosomal RNA
Source: RNAcentral
UACGGAGGGUGCAAGCGUUAUCCGGAUUCACUGGGCUUAAAGGGCGCGUAGGCGGGCCGUCUAGUCCGUGGUGAAAUCCUCCGGCUCAACCGGAGAAGUGCCUCGGAUACUGGCGGCCUCGAGGGGGGUAGGGGCGUGCGGAACUUCCGGUGGAGCGGUGAAAUGCGUAGAUAUCGGAAGGAACACCGGUGGCGAAAGCGGCGCGCUGGACCCCAUCUGACGCUGAGGCGCGAAAGCCAGGGGAGCAAACGGG